CUCCCCCGGGCUACAACUGCGAACUCUCCAAGAAAAGCAGGCUCUUCUAUCUCACACCCAAUUAUAACUCAUACUCCCACCCAUCAGCCCAAACUAAGAGUUCUCGCAAAUCGUUGCCUUUAUUCUUAAACCAAUCAGACCCUAACUCAAUUUUUCACUCUUGAUCAAUCCAUGGCCUGCGCGAGCCUUGUGAAACUGAAUGCGUCAUCGUCUCAGUGGAUAGGACAGCAAUCCUUCACCCAACGCCACGGAUCGUCAACUCGCCGAGUCUCCAUCCCGUUCCGCACCAAGGCUUACGCAAACAAACUUGUCCAAACUGCUAUGAGUCAUAUAAUUUCUUUGAUCCACCUUCCCAACCCUUGGGGUUUUGACCUUUGACCCUUGCCUUUCUGAUAUUAAUUUCUGAUAUGCAUACUUAGCGUUUGGAUCAGUUGACUGUGAUUCUUGUGAAUCUAUCUCUGUUGUUGAAUUCUUUCAUCAUCUAAUUUACAAACACAAAUCAAUUGCCUCUCCUGGUUGUGGGAUCCUUACCAUUGAUGAAUCUAACGCAUCUUGUGGGAGAAUGCUAACCUCUAUCGGCUUGGAUAAUACCAAGGUAAACCGACAGGUAUACAGACAACUUUUGCUCACCAGUCCUGGCCUGGGUGAAUUCAUUUCCGAGGCCAUUCUUUUUUAGGAAACAUUGUUACCAGUCAACUACAGAUGGGAAGAAAUUUGUCAAUUGCUUGCGUGAUGAGAAAAUUGUUCCGGGCAUUAAAGUUGAUAAGGUUUUAUGUCAAUAGAAUGCCAUACACAUUUAUUACAUGCUUUAUUUAACAUUGUGUUAUCGGUAAUGUGCUUGUAGGUUCCCAUUUUUUAACUUAUUGGGUAUCAGGGUUUGGUUCCCUUACCAGGAUCAAACAGUGAGUCAUGGUGCCAAGGUUUAGAUGGAUUAGCUUCAAGAUCUACUAAAUACUACAAGCAAGGUGCUCGUUUUGCCAAGUGGUAAGCAGUUGUUAACAUUCCUUGUGGCCCUUUUGCUUUAG
This is a long non-coding RNA of Juglans microcarpa x Juglans regia, 1025 nucleotides long. RefSeq lists it as uncharacterized. The transcript has 3 exons. NCBI's taxonomy places the organism in Eukaryota, Viridiplantae, Streptophyta, Magnoliopsida, Fagales, Juglandaceae. The record is from RefSeq and is a predicted model, not a curated record.